GUCUUAUUAGAAUGGUGUUAAUAGUCUAGCCUGCUCAAUGAUAUAUAUUAUUAAAUGGCCGCGGUAUUCUGACCGUGCAAAGGUAGCAUAAUCAUUAGUUCUCUAAUUAGGAACUCGUAUGAAUGGUUGAACAAAGGAGAAUCUGUCUCUAUAACUAAUAUUGAAAUUAACCUCUAAGUGAAAAGGCUUAGAUUUUCUAAGGGGACGAUAAGACCCUAUAAAGCUUUAUAAAUCAUGAAAAUCUUGGAGAUAAUAGUUGAAGAAGAAAGAUUUUCAAUAUUUAUUGGGUUGGGGCGACAAUAAUAUAAAUAAAAUAACUGUUAGAAUAUUUUACAGCGAAUAUUUGAUUAGAAAUUAAUAGAUCCUAAUUAUGGAUUUCGAGAACAAGUUACUUUAGGGAUAACAGCGUUAUUUUUCCAGAGAGCCCUUAUCAAAGGAAAAGUUUGCGACCUCGAUGUUGAAUUAAAAUGUCUUUAUGGAGCAGGAUCUAUAAUAGAAGGUCUGUUCGACCUUUAAUUUUUU
This 522-nucleotide ribosomal RNA is filed under the name Laleonectes vocans. RNAcentral describes it as "partial 16S ribosomal RNA". It matches the Rfam family "Archaeal large subunit ribosomal RNA", at positions 1921 to 2666 of the family's 2987-position model. Lineage: Eukaryota; Metazoa; Arthropoda; Malacostraca; Decapoda; Portunidae. The record is from RNAcentral.